This 253-nucleotide ribosomal RNA is filed under the name uncultured bacterium. RNAcentral's name for it is "partial 16S ribosomal RNA". It matches the Rfam family "Bacterial small subunit ribosomal RNA", at positions 524 to 776 of the family's 1533-position model. The record is from RNAcentral.
AACGUAGGUGGCGAGCGUUAUCCGGAUUUACUGGGCGUAAAGGGCGCGUAGGCGGCUGUGUAAGUCAGAUGUGAAAGCCCCAGGCUUAACCUGGGAACUGCAUUUGAUACUGCAUGGCUAGAGAUCGAGAGAGGAAAGUGGAAUUACGAGUGUAGAAGUGAAAUUCGUAGAUAUUCGUAGGAACACCGGUGGCGAAGGCGGCUACCUGGACAGAAACUGACGCUGAGGCGCGAAAGCUAGGGGAGCAAACAGG